RNAcentral lists this non-coding RNA (683 nucleotides) under Microbacterium sp. SUBG005. Its description in RNAcentral is "bacterial LSU rRNA". It matches the Rfam family "Bacterial large subunit ribosomal RNA", at positions 1639 to 2309 of the family's 2925-position model. The record is from RNAcentral. Lineage: Bacteria; Bacillati; Actinomycetota; Actinomycetes; Micrococcales; Microbacteriaceae.
UGCCCGUACCCCAAACCGACUCAGGUGGGUCAGGUAGAGAAUACCAAGGAGAUCGAGAGAAUCGCGGUUAAGGAACUCGGCAAAAUGCCCCCGUAACUUCGGGAGAAGGGGGGCCAUCCACUUAUUAGGACUUGCUCCGAAAGGGUGUGGUGGCCGCAGAGACUAGUGGGUAGCGACUGUUUACUAAAAACACAGGUCCGUGCCAAGUCGCAAGACGAUGUAUACGGACUGACGCCUGCCCGGUGCUGGAAGGUUAAGAGGACCGGUUAGCCGCAAGGCGAAGCUGAGAAUUUAAGCCCCAGUAAACGGCGGUGGUAACUAUAACCAUCCUAAGGUAGCGAAAUUCCUUGUCGGGUAAGUUCCGACCUGCACGAAUGGCGUAACUUCCCAACUGUCUCAACCGCGAACUCGGCGAAAUUGCAUUACGAGUAAAGAUGCUCGUUACGCGCAGCAGGACGGAAAGACCCCCGUGCCUUUACUACAGCUUGGUAUUGGUGUUCGGUGUGGCUUGUGUAGGAUAGGUGGGAGACGGUGAAGCAUUCACGCCAGUGAGUGUGGAGUCAUUGUUGAAAUACCACUCUGGUCACUCUGGAUAUCUAACUUAGGACCGUGAUCCGGUUCAGGGACAGUGCCUGGUGGGUAGUUUAACUGGGGCGGUUGCUCCCAAAAUGUAACGGAGGCGC